RNAcentral lists this ribosomal RNA (442 nucleotides) under uncultured bacterium. RNAcentral's name for it is "partial 16S ribosomal RNA". It matches the Rfam family "Bacterial small subunit ribosomal RNA", at positions 338 to 795 of the family's 1533-position model. The record is from RNAcentral.
CCUACGGGAGGCUGCAGUAGGGAAUCUUUCACAAUGGGCGAAAGCCUGAUGGAGCAACGCCGCGUGCAGGAUGAAGGCCUUCGGGUUGUAAACUGCUUUUAUAAGCGAGAAAUAUGAUGGUAACUUAUGAAUAAGGAUCGGCUAACUACGUGCCAGCAGCCGCGGUCAUACGUAGGACCCGAGCAUUAUCCGGGGUGACUGUGUGUAAAGAGUUGCGUAGGUGGGAUAAUAAGUAGCUAGGGAAAUCUGGUGGCUCAACCAUUCAGACUAUUAGCUAAACUGUUAAGCUCGAGUGCGUUAGGGGUAACUGGAAUUUCUAGUGUAGGAGUGAAAUGCGUAGAUAUUAGAAGGAACACCAAUGGCGAAGGCAGGUUACUGGUACGUUUCUGACACUGAGGCACGAAAGCGUAGGGAGCAAACGGGAUUAGAUACCCUUGUAGUC